Molecule: long non-coding RNA, 341 nt
Filed under: Vigna radiata
Lineage: Eukaryota; Viridiplantae; Streptophyta; Magnoliopsida; Fabales; Fabaceae
Description: long non-coding RNA (VRAD_LNC006680)
Source: RNAcentral
GGAUGAGCUUAAUUGUAUGUGAUAAAAAGGUUUAAGUUUGGGGUUGUUGGGGGAAAGUUGAAAAAGCAAGUGAAAAACAUUGAGCUCAAAUGUUGUGAAAAGAAAAAUUCAUGAGAAAAAGAAAAGAAAAGAAGAAAAGCAUGAAGAAGAGCUCAAUGGAAAAGAAAAAGAAAAGGGAAAAGUUGGGAAUGAGAGAGAUUGGUGAGGAAGAAAGUUGUGCUUAAAUGUUGAAUAUUUUAAUAGCUCUCUUGACUCAAGGACUUUGCAUUCUAGAAAAACCAAUUCUUUCUUGUUUGCCAAACCUCAUUACAAGCCUUGCACUAAAGAAAUCUGAUAAUUAC